Molecule: non-coding RNA, 180 nt
Filed under: Alkalihalobacillus sp. LMS39
Lineage: Bacteria; Bacillati; Bacillota; Bacilli; Caryophanales; Bacillaceae
Description: 6S RNA
Rfam family: 6S / SsrS RNA
About the family: E. coli 6S RNA was the first non coding RNA to be sequenced, but its function was unknown until recently. It consists of 184 nucleotides that fold into an extended hairpin structure with a large single-stranded internal bulge. The 6S RNA specifically associates with RNA polymerase holoenzyme containing the sigma70 specificity factor.
Source: RNAcentral
AGAAGCCUGCCGUGUUUGUUAGCUUCUCUUUGUUUCGAACCGUGAAUAAGAAACGGGAGCUCCAUAUUAACCGGUUGACAACAAGCCUCUCGAUGUGGAAGUUGGAGAUUGGUUUGAGAGCACCCACCUGCGUUGAGUAGGUUCUUGAAACAUCGAGGCAACGGCAUUCGCGGGUUUCCG